This 505-nucleotide ribosomal RNA is filed under the name uncultured bacterium. Its description in RNAcentral is "partial 16S ribosomal RNA". It matches the Rfam family "Bacterial small subunit ribosomal RNA", at positions 28 to 507 of the family's 1533-position model. The record is from RNAcentral.
GACGAACGCUGGCGGCGUGCCUAAUACAUGCAAGUAGAACGCACAGUUUAUACCGUAGCUUGCUACACCAUAGACUGUGAGUUGCGAACGGGUGAGUAACGCGUAGGUAACCUGCCUGGUAGCGGGGGAUAACUAUUGGAAACGAUAGCUAAUACCGCAUAAUAUUAAUUAUUGCAUGAUAAUUAAUUGAAAGGUGCAAUUGCACCACUACCAGAUGGACCUGCGUUGUAUUAGCUAGUAGGUGAGGUAACGGCUCACCUAGGCGACGAUACAUAGCCGACCUGAGAGGGUGAUCGGCCACACUGGGACUGAGACACGGCCCAGACUCCUACGGGAGGCAGCAGUAGGGAAUCUUCGGCAAUGGACGAAAGUCUGACCGAGCAACGCCGCGUGAGUGAAGAAGGUUGUCGGAUCGCAAAGCUCUGUUGUAAGAGAAGAACGGGUGUGAGAGUGGAAAGUUCACACUGUGACGGUAUCUUACCAGAAAGGGACGGCUAACUACGUG